Molecule: ribosomal RNA, 497 nt
Filed under: uncultured bacterium
Lineage: Bacteria
Description: partial 16S ribosomal RNA
Rfam family: Bacterial small subunit ribosomal RNA
Source: RNAcentral
GAUGAACGCUGGCGGCGUGCCUAAUACAUGCAAGUCGAGCGAACAGACGAGGGUCUUGCUCCUCUGACGUUAUCGGCGGACGGGUGAUUAACACGUGGAUAACCUACCUAUAAGACUGGGAGAACUUCGGGAAACCGGAGCUAAUACCGGAUAGUAUAUUGAACCGCAUGGUUCAAUAGUUAAAGACGGUUUUGCUGUCGCUUAUAGCUGUAUCCGCGCCGCAUUAGCUAGUUGUUAAUGUAACGGCUUACCAAGGCAACGAUGCGUAGCCGACAUGAGAGGGUGAUCGGACACACUGGAACUGAGAAACGGCACAGACUCCUACGCGAGGACGCAGUAGGGAAUCUUCCGCAAUGGGCGAAAGCCUGAUGGAGCACAGCCGCGUGAGUGCUGAAGGUCUUAGGAUCGUAAAACUCUGUUAUUAGGGAAGAACAAAUGUGUAAGUAACUAUGCACGUAUUGACGGUACCUACUCAGAAAGCCACGGCUAACUACGUG